Non-coding RNA from Triticum aestivum (bread wheat), 142 nucleotides. Lineage: Eukaryota; Viridiplantae; Streptophyta; Magnoliopsida; Poales; Poaceae. The record is from Rfam.
GAGGUACUCCCUCUGCCCGAAAAUACUUGUCAUCAAAAUGGAUAAAAGGGGAUGUAUCUAGAAGUUCUAGAUACAUCCCUUCUAGAUACAUCCCCUUUUAUCCAUUUUGAUGACAAGUAUUUUCGGACGGAGGGAGUAUCUU